This 295-nucleotide unclassified non-coding RNA is filed under the name Hevea brasiliensis (rubber tree). Lineage: Eukaryota; Viridiplantae; Streptophyta; Magnoliopsida; Malpighiales; Euphorbiaceae. The record is from RNAcentral.
GGUAACUCUAUGAAUGAUAUCACGAGGCUGUGGAAGCUCUGAGUCGUAACUCUGUUGAGUUUUGUGGGUAGCCUAACCUGAUUUUUAUAUUCUUCCUUAAUAGUAAGUCAUCGAGUUGCAACACAUUUCUUUAAUGGUGAAAACUAUCAGAUUUGGGCGGUAAGGAUGAAACUGUAUCUAGAUGUUAUGGAUAUGUGGAGACAGCCAAACAUUGCCUAACAAUCCUACUAUGGCCCAAAUCGAGAACCAUAAAGACAAAAAACCAGAAAAUCAAAAGCUUGUUUAUAUUCUUUAG